AGCAGGGCUGCUAACCUUGCUUUGGGUAGUUCGAUUUUAUCCUUUUUCUUAUGUAUAGAAGACUUCCU
This 68-nucleotide transfer RNA is filed under the name Potamopyrgus antipodarum. RNAcentral's name for it is "tRNA-Ser". Lineage: Eukaryota; Metazoa; Mollusca; Gastropoda; Littorinimorpha; Tateidae. The record is from RNAcentral.